This 1146-nucleotide long non-coding RNA is filed under the name Equus asinus (donkey). RNAcentral describes it as "lncRNA (ENSEASG00005038299.1)". The record is from RNAcentral. Lineage: Eukaryota; Metazoa; Chordata; Mammalia; Perissodactyla; Equidae.
AGCAGCUGUUUCUCCAUAGGCGGCGGGUGGGGAGACUGUCUGCCUUUCUCCUGAGCUGCCGCCUGUUUCUCUCAUCACCAGCUUCAGGAGGUCCCUGCAGGCUCCCACACCAGCCAAGCUUCCGGCUCAUGAUGAAAGGAGGCGCUCUGCUCUUCUGAGAUAAAGCAUCAGCGGCAGAGCCUGAUGACUAAAGCCUGGAUCCCUAGGUCCCCAGCCGCUGGCUUCCAGGGCAGCCAAUUGUAAACUUUGCUAUGAAGACUUGUCUCCUUUGUUCUUACGUGUUGCUACUUUCUUGUUACCCAGUCCAUGUUAAUCGCUUUUCUGACAAUUUUCCUGGCAAGCUAUUUUUGCUGUAAAGGAAGCGGGGGUUGCUGCUGUGUGUGGAGGGCCUCAAAUUCAGUGUCCAGCCACCCAACAUCUGACCUGUGUGUCCUCUGACAGUUCCUCCCAGGGAGUCAUGGCAACCUAAAAUUUCCUGGGGACUACAGGUUAUGCAUUUUUGGCAAGAAUAUCAAGGAAGGGAAGUCGUGUCCUUCUCAGAGCAUCAUAUCAGGAGGCACGCGAUCUCUCUUGGUUCCAGUAUCAGUGACGUGAACUUUGAUCUCUUGCUUCAGAGCAAAUAGUCCCUUUGGAGCUCAGAACUACCUUCUAAAUUUGAUCUGAACUUAAGUUCUGUCCCCCUCUAUUCAGACUGAAGAUACGUGGUAUUCCUCUGUACGCCCCAGUGACUCGAAUUUCUACUCGGGACCAGACUUUUCUUGGUGAAUGACUCAGCAUUUUAUCCUCUGACAUUUUAAGAGAACCACUUUGCUAUUAAACUGAAGCCAUAUAUUAAAGUUAAACCCCGAAGCAAGCCUGGGUCCAACAAAGGUUAGACAAAGAUAAGACAAUUUGUCACACCUACCAGCCUGCGAAGUGCACGGCAGAAAUGAAAUGAGAUUCCAGAACCAGAACACGCUGGGGCCUUUGACUACAAAUUCUAAUGGAGAGAAACUCUUCUCGGGGGUGGCUGUAGCUCUGGCUUCGGACAGACCGUCUCUUGGCUGUGUUGAUAGACCACGUGGAGGGAUUCUGUGCUCCAGACCUGAGGCCCGAGUUAGGACAGCGUGUUGAAAGGGGGCUUAAAAGCUGAACUUCCAAAUUGGG